This 406-nucleotide ribosomal RNA is filed under the name uncultured bacterium. RNAcentral's name for it is "partial 16S ribosomal RNA". It matches the Rfam family "Bacterial small subunit ribosomal RNA", at positions 29 to 526 of the family's 1533-position model. The record is from RNAcentral.
AUUGAACGCUGGCGGCAGGCUUAACACAUGCAAGUCGAGCGAGCGGCGGACGGGUGAGUAAUGUCUGGGAAACUGCCUGAUGGAGGGGGAUAACUACUGGAAACGGUAGCUAAUACCGCAUACCAUCAGAUGUGCCCAGAUGGGAUGAGCUAGUAGGUGGGGUAAUGGCUCACCUAGGCGACGAUCCCUAGCUGGUCUAAGAGGAUGACCAGCUACGGUGGUGCGAGGACACGGUCCAGACUGCGACGGGAGGCAGCGUUGGAAAAUAUAGCACAAUGGGCACUAUGCUAAUGCGGGCAAGGCGGGUGUGGAGGGAGGGCCUUCGGGUUGUGGAGCACUUUCAGCGAUGAGGCGUUACUCGCAGAAGAAGCACCGGCUAACUCCGUGCCAGCAGCCGCGGUAAUUC